This 1489-nucleotide long non-coding RNA is filed under the name Salmo salar (Atlantic salmon). RNAcentral's name for it is "lncRNA (ENSSSAG00000088223.1)". The record is from RNAcentral. Lineage: Eukaryota; Metazoa; Chordata; Actinopteri; Salmoniformes; Salmonidae.
CGUAUGGAGACCCACCUCACAGCCCUGUGGUAACCCUGACGUAUGGAGACCCACCUCACAGCCCUGUGGUACCCCUUACAUAUGGAGACCCACAACACAGCCCUGUGGUAACCCUGACGUAUGGAGACCCAUGGGGUACAGCAUGAAGAUACAGCAUGGAGGUACAGCAUGGAGGUACAGCAUGGAGGUACAGCACGGAGAUACAGCACGAAGGUACAGUAUGGAGGUACAGCAUGAAGAUACAGCAUGGAGGUACAGCAUGGAGGUACAGCAUGGAGGUACAGCAUGGAGGUACAGCACGGAGGUCCAGCACGGAGGUCCAGCACGGAGGUACAGCACGGAGGUACAGCACGGAGGUACAGCAUGAAUGUACAGCACGGAGGUCCAGCACGGAGGUCCAGCACGAAUGUACAGCAUGGAGGUACAGCAUGGAGGUACAGCAUGGAGGUACAGCAUGAAUGUACAGCAUGGAGGUACAGCAUGGAGGUACAGCAUGGAGGUACAGGAUGGAGGUACAGCAUGGAGGUACAGCAUGAAUGUACAGCAUGGAGGUACAGCACGGAGGUACAGCACGGAGGUACAGCAUGAAUGUACAGCAUGGAGGUACAGCACGGAGGUCCAGCACGGUGGUCCAGCACGGAGUUACAGCAUAGAGUUACAGCAUGGAGGACCAGCAUGGAAACAUGUCACAAACAGGCUCUCUUUAUCCCCAGCUAUCAGACCACUGUAGCACAAACAGCCUCUCUUUAUCCCCAGCUAUCAGACCACUGUAGCACAAACAGCCUCUCUUUAUUCCCAGCUAUCAGACCACUGUAGCAGCAAACAGCCUCUCUUUAUCCCCAGCUAUCAGACCACUGUAGCAGCAAACAGCCUCUCUUUAUCCCCAGCUAUCAGACUACUGUAGCAGCAAACAGCCUCUCUUUAUCCCCAGCUAUCAGACCACUGUAGCACAAACAGCCUCUCUUUAUCCCCAGCUAUCAGACCACUGUAGCAGCAAACAGCCUCUCUUUAUCCCCAGCUAUCAGACCACUGUAGCAGCAAACAGCCUCUCUUUAUCCCCAGCUAUCAGACCACUGUAGCAGCAAACAGCCUCUCUUUAUCCCCAGCUAUCAGACCACUGUAGCAGCAAACAUUCUCUCUUUAUCCCCAGCUAUCAGACCACUGUAGCACAAACAGCCUCUCUUUAUCCCCAGCUAUCAGACCACUGUAGCAGCAAAUAGCCUCUCUUUAUCCCCAGCUAUCAGACCACUGUAGCACAAACAGCCUCUCUUUAUCCCCAGCUAUCAGACCACUGUAGCAGCAAACAGCCUCUCUUUAUCCCCAGCUAUCAGACCACUGUAGCAGCAAACAUCCUCUCUUUAUCCCCAGCUAUCAGACCACUGUAGCACAAACAGCCUCUCUUUAUCCCCAGCUAUCAGACCACUGUAGCACAAACAGCCUCUCUUUAUCCCCAGCUAUCAGACCACUGUAGCACAAACAGCCUCUCUUU